Molecule: ribosomal RNA, 413 nt
Filed under: uncultured bacterium
Lineage: Bacteria
Description: partial 16S ribosomal RNA
Rfam family: Bacterial small subunit ribosomal RNA
Source: RNAcentral
CCUACGGGGGGCAGCAGUGGGGAAUAUUGGGCAAUGGGCGCAAGCCUGACCCAGCAACGCCGCGUGAAGGAAGAAGGCCCUCGGGUUGUAAACUUCUUUUAUCAAGGACGAAACAAAUGACGGUACUUGAUGAAUAAGCCACGGCUAACUACGUGCCAGCAGCCGCGGUAAUACGUAGGUGGCAAGCGUUAUCCGGAUUUACUGGGUGUAAGGGGCGUGUAGGCGGGGCUGCAAGUCAGAUGUGAAAGCCAUGGGCUCAACCCAUGGCCGGCUUUGGAAACGGUGGUGCUUGAGUGUUGGAGAGGCAGGCGGAAUUCCGGGUGUAGCGGUGAAAUGCGUAGAGAUACGGAGGAACACCAGUGGCGAAGGCGGCCUACGGGACAAUAACUGACGCUGAGGCGCGAAAGCGUGGG